UCCUCUACCAUACGGGCGACGAUAGCCCUC
This 30-nucleotide small RNA is filed under the name Bombyx mori (domestic silkworm). Its description in RNAcentral is "ovarian small RNA-3385". Lineage: Eukaryota; Metazoa; Arthropoda; Insecta; Lepidoptera; Bombycidae. The record is from RNAcentral.